AUGAACGCUGGCGGCGCGCCUAACACAUGCAAGUCGAACGGCACCCACCUUCGGGUGGAAGCGAGUGGCGAACGGCUGAGUAACACGUGGAGAACCUGCCCCCUCCCCCGGGAUAGCCGCCCGAAAGGACGGGUAAUACCGGAUACCCCGGGGUGCCGCAUGGCACCCCGGCUAAAGCCCCGACGGGAGGGGAUGGCUCCGCGGCCCAUCAGGUAGACGGCGGGGUGACGGCCCACCGUGCCGACAACGGGUAGCCGGGUUGAGAGACCGACCGGCCAGAUUGGGACUGAGACACGGCCCAGACUCCUACGGGAGGCAGCAGUGGGGAAUCUUGCGCAAUGGGGGGAACCCUGACGCAGCGACGCCGCGUGCGGGACGGAGGCCUUCGGGUCGUAAACCGCUUUCAGCAGGGAAGAGUCAAGACUGUACCUGCAGAAGAAGCCCCGGCUAACUACGUGCCAGCAGCCGCGGUAAUACGUAGGGGGCGAGCGUUAUCCGGAUUCAUUGGGCGUAAAGCGCGCGUAGGCGGCCCGGCAGGCCGGGGGUCGAAGCGGGGGGCUCAACCCCCCGAAGCCCCCGGAACCUCCGCGGCUUGGGUCCGGUAGGGGAGGGUGGAACACCCGGUGUAGCGGUGGAAUGCGCAGAUAUCGGGUGGAACACCGGUGGCGAAGGCGGCCCUCUGGGCCGAGACCGACGCUGAGGCGCGAAAGCUGGGGGAGCGAACAGGAUUAGAUACCCUGGUAGUCCCAGCCGUAAACGAUGGACGCUAGGUGUGGGGGGACGAUCCCCCCGUGCCGCAGCCAACGCAUUAAGCGUCCCGCCUGGGGAGUACGGCCGCAAGGCUAAAACUCAAAGGAAUUGACGGGGGCCCGCACAAGCAGCGGAGCAUGUGGCUUAAUUCGAAGCAACGCGAAGAACCUUACCAGGGCUUGACAUAUGGGUGAAGCGGGGGAGACCCCGUGGCCGAGAGGAGCCCAUACAGGUGGUGCAUGGCUGUCGUCAGCUCGUGUCGUGAGAUG
Molecule: ribosomal RNA, 1019 nt
Filed under: human gut metagenome
Description: bacterial SSU rRNA
Rfam family: Bacterial small subunit ribosomal RNA
Source: RNAcentral